This 856-nucleotide ribosomal RNA is filed under the name Monilinia laxa. Its description in RNAcentral is "partial large subunit ribosomal RNA". It matches the Rfam family "Eukaryotic large subunit ribosomal RNA", at positions 34 to 911 of the family's 3401-position model. The record is from RNAcentral. Lineage: Eukaryota; Fungi; Ascomycota; Leotiomycetes; Helotiales; Sclerotiniaceae.
UUAAGCAUAUCAAUAAGCGGAGGAAAAGAACACAGGGAUUACCUCAGUAACGGCGAGUGAAGCGGUAAAAGCUCAAAUUUGAAAUCUGGCUCUUUUAGAGUCCGAGUUGUAAUUUGUAGAAGAUGCUUCGGGUGUGGUUCCGGUCUAAGUUCCUUGGAACAGGACGUCAUAGAGGGUGAGAAUCCCGUAUGUGACUGGAUACCUAUGCUCAUGUGAAGCUCUUUCGACGAGUCGAGUUGUUUGGGAAUGCAGCUCAAAAUGGGUGGUAUAUUUCAUCUAAAGCUAAAUAUUGGCCAGAGACCGAUAGCGCACAAGUAGAGUGAUCGAAAGAUGAAAAGCACUUUGGAAAGAGAGUUAAACAGUACGUGAAAUUGUUGAAAGGGAAGCGCUUGCAAUCAGACUUGCACUUGGUGUUCAUCGGGGUUUCUACCCCGUGUACUUCAUCAAGUUCAGGCCAGCAUCAGUUUGGGUGGUUAGAUAAAGGCUUAGAGAAUGUGGCCCUCUUCGGGGGGUGUUAUAGCUCUAGGUGCAAUGUAGCCUACCUGGACUGAGGACCGCGCUUCGGCUAGGAUGCUGGCGUAAUGGUUGUAAGCGACCCGUCUUGAAACACGGACCAAGGAGUGUACCUAAUAUGCGAGUGUUUGGGUGUUAAACCCAUACGCGUAAUGAAAGUGAACGGAGGUGAGAGCCCUUAAGGGUGCAUCAUCGACCGAUCCUGAUGUCUUCGGAUGGAUUUGAGUAAGAGCAUAUUGGGUGCGACCCGAAAGAUGGUGAUCUAUACGUGAAUAGGGUGAAGCCAGAGGAAACUCUGGUGGAGGCUCGCAGCGGUUCUGACGUGCAAAUCGAUCGUCAAUUU